RNAcentral lists this ribosomal RNA (253 nucleotides) under uncultured bacterium. RNAcentral describes it as "partial 16S ribosomal RNA". It matches the Rfam family "Bacterial small subunit ribosomal RNA", at positions 524 to 776 of the family's 1533-position model. The record is from RNAcentral.
UACGUAGGGUGCAAGCGUUAUCCGGAAUUAUUGGGCGUAAAGAGCUCGUAGGCGGUUUGUCGCGUCUGCUGUGAAAACCCGAGGCUCAACCUCGGGCCUGCAGUGGGUACGGGCAGACUAGAGUGCGGUAGGGGAGACUGGAAUUCCUGGUGUAGCGGUGAAAUGCGCAGAUAUCAGGAGGAACACCGGUGGCGAAGGCGGGUCUCUGGGCCGAUAUUGACGCUGAGGAGCGAAAGCGUGGGGAGCGAACAGG